This 473-nucleotide ribosomal RNA is filed under the name uncultured Pseudomonadota bacterium. Its description in RNAcentral is "bacterial SSU rRNA". It matches the Rfam family "Bacterial small subunit ribosomal RNA", at positions 433 to 896 of the family's 1533-position model. Lineage: Bacteria; Pseudomonadati; Pseudomonadota. The record is from RNAcentral.
CUUUCAGUUGGAACGAAACGGUACGCUCUAACAUAGCGUGCUAAUGACGGUACCGACAGAGAAGCACCGGCUAACUACGUGCCAGCAGCCGCGGUAAUACGUAGGGUGCGUAGCGUUAAUCGGAAUUACUGGGCGUAAAGCGUGCGCAGGCGGAUUGUUAAGCAAGAUGUGAAAUCCCCGGGCUUAACCUGGGAAUGGCAUUUUGAACUGGCAGUCUAGAGUGCGUCAGAGGGGGGUGGAAUUCCACGUGUAGCAGUGAAAUGCGUAGAUAUGUGGAGGGAACACCAAUGGCGAAGGCAGCCCCCUGGGAUGACACUGACGCUCAUGUACGAAAGCGUGGGUAGCAAACAGGAUUAGAUACCCUGGUAGUCCACGCCCUAAACGAUGUCAACUGGUUGUUGGGGGAGUGAAAUCCCUUAGUAACGAAGCUAACGCGUGAAGUUGACCGCCUGGGGAGUACGGUCGCAAGGCUA